This 76-nucleotide transfer RNA is filed under the name Chloroflexota bacterium. RNAcentral's name for it is "Chloroflexi bacterium tRNA-Arg". It matches the Rfam family "tRNA". From Rfam's summary of the family: Transfer RNA (tRNA) molecules are approximately 80 nucleotides in length. Their secondary structure includes four short double-helical elements and three loops (D, anti-codon, and T loops). Further hydrogen bonds mediate the characteristic L-shaped molecular structure. tRNAs have two regions of fundamental functional importance: the anti-codon, which is responsible for specific mRNA codon recognition, and the 3' end, to which the tRNAs corresponding amino acid is attached (by aminoacyl-tRNA synthetases). tRNAs cope with the degeneracy of the genetic code in two manners: having more than one tRNA (with a specific anti-codon) for a particular amino acid; and 'wobble' base-pairing, i.e. permitting non-standard base-pairing at the 3rd anti-codon position. Lineage: Bacteria; Bacillati; Chloroflexota. RNAcentral also lists the same sequence under 1 other name. The record is from RNAcentral.
GCGCCGGUAGCUCAGUGGAUAGAGCGUUGGCCUCCGGAGCCAAAGGCCGCAGGUUCGAAUCCUGUCCGGCGCGCCA